GGGUUGUGAGGUUAAGCGACUAAGCGUACACGGUGGAUGCCCUGGCAGUCAGAGGCGAUGAAGGACGUGCUAAUCUGCGAUAAGCGUCGGUAAGGUGAUAUGAACCGUUAUAACCGGCGAUUUCCGAAUGGGGAAACCCAGUGUGAUUCGUCACACUAUCAUUAACUGAAUCCAUAGGUUAAUGAGGCGAACCGGGGGAACUGAAACAUCUAAGUACCCCGAGGAAAAGAAAUCAACCGAGAUUCCCCCAGUAGCGGCGAGCGAACGGGGAGGAGCCCAGAGCCUGAAUCAGUGUGUGUGUUAGUGGAAGCGUCUGGAAAGGCGCGCGAUACAGGGUGACAGCCCCGUACACAAAAAUGCACAUGCUGUGAGCUCGAUGAGUAGGGCGGGACACGUGGUAUCCUGUCUGAAUAUGGGGGAACCAUCCUCCAAGGCUAAAUACUCCUGACUGACCGAUAGUGAACCAGUACCGUGAGGGAAAGGCGAAAAGAACCCCGGCGAGGGGAGUGAAAA
Molecule: ribosomal RNA, 513 nt
Filed under: Escherichia coli
Lineage: Bacteria; Pseudomonadati; Pseudomonadota; Gammaproteobacteria; Enterobacterales; Enterobacteriaceae
Description: partial 23S ribosomal RNA
Rfam family: Bacterial large subunit ribosomal RNA
Source: RNAcentral